UUGAGAAAUGCCAAGCAGCAGCUCUGAUGCAUCAAAUGGAGCCAGGGCUGUGCUAUGCAGAGAUAAGAUAACGGGGACCCUGAGUCAUUGCUUUGAGACUACUCCACAGCUGAUAACAGUGCGAGCAAAGGACCGAGAGAGGGAAUAACAAGUGCUCGUGGGUUUUAAAAAAGGAAGUCUGAGCGGUUACGUGCCAGGAUGAUGCUCAGCUGCACAGAGAGGCUACGGCAGAACACAGUCAUUGAGCAGUCCGCUACCUCUUCAGCUCCGUAGACUCCACGGCGCUGGUGCCAGGCUGUGGGGACGUUUCUAAAGGUGGAGCCUCUGUUUGUAGAGCAUUUUUCCCAAGAUGAGGAAAACUAGUCUGUGGAGACACAUUAAUAACUUUGCAAACAUGGGCCCAUCAAAGUGCAUCGGAGGAGGACCCGCUGCCCUGGUGCCGGCCAGCCAAUCAGUGGAGACCAUGUCCUGAAAGGACACACCUGGGAAGCUGCUGACUCUGCUGUAGAGAGCGGCAACACCGCGGGAACCCUUUAACCUGGUGGAGAAACACAUGGACAUCGAGGGCACCACAAUGAAGACUUUAGUCUCAGGGGUUUCUUCAACACCAAACUUUUUCCUUUUGCUUGUUCACUAUUAAACUUUGGA
This is a long non-coding RNA of Myotis myotis, 648 nucleotides long. RefSeq lists it as uncharacterized. NCBI's taxonomy places the organism in Eukaryota, Metazoa, Chordata, Mammalia, Chiroptera, Vespertilionidae. The transcript has 4 exons. The record is from RefSeq and is a predicted model, not a curated record.